This 283-nucleotide long non-coding RNA is filed under the name Salmo salar (Atlantic salmon). RNAcentral describes it as "lncRNA (ENSSSAG00000114090.1)". Lineage: Eukaryota; Metazoa; Chordata; Actinopteri; Salmoniformes; Salmonidae. The record is from RNAcentral.
UGUCAGGGGAGAGUGGUCUGGGGUUAGUAGUAGACUGUCAGGGGAGAGUGGUCUGGGGUUAGUAGUAGACUGUCAGGGGAGAAUGGUCUGAGGUUAGUAGUAGACUGUCAGGGGAGAGUGGUCUGGGGUUAGCAGUAGACUGUCGGGGAGAGUGGUCUGGGGUUAGUAGUAGACUGUCAGGGGAGAGUGGCAUGGGGUUAGUAGUAGACUGUCAUGGGAGAGUGGUCUGGGGUUAGUAGGAGACUGUCAGGGGAGAGUGGUCUGAGGUUAGUAGUAGACUGUC